Long non-coding RNA from Zalophus californianus (California sea lion), 268 nucleotides. RefSeq lists it as uncharacterized. The transcript has 3 exons. The record is from RefSeq and is a predicted model, not a curated record. Lineage: Eukaryota; Metazoa; Chordata; Mammalia; Carnivora; Otariidae.
GCAUGUGUUCAGGAACUUCCUGUCGGUCACUGCCUUCAAACCAGCCGUGUUGAGAGUUAUUUACAUCAUGGAGCCGGACAAGAAACAUCCACUCAAAGAUUUCUUCAGGGUGCGUGAAGUGGAGGAGCAGUGAGAUAAUAGUUAUCCCUCUCUGGCUGGACAGCUACCAGGCUCUUUCACUUUGGUGUUUAUACAAGAAGCAAGCCAAGAAGAUUUUUAUUUGUCAGAGAGAGAGAGCGCACAAGCAGAGGCGGCGGCAGGCAGAGGG